AUUGAACGCUGGCGGCAUGCCUAACACAUGCAAGUCGAACGGCAGCACAGCAGUAGCAAUACUGUGGGUGGCGAGUGGCGGACGGGUGAGGAAUACGUCGGAAUCUGCCCAGUCGUGGGGGAUAACUAGCCGAAAGGUUAGCUAAUACCGCAUACGACCGAGAGGUGAAAGCGGGGGACCGCAAGGCCUCGCGCGAUUGGAUGAGCCGACGUCGGAUUAGCUAGUUGGCGGGGUAAAGGCCACCAAGGCGACGAUCCGUAGCUGGUCUGAGAGGAUGAUCAGCCACACUGGAACUGAGACACGGUCCAGACUCCUACGGGAGGCAGCAGUGGGGAAUAUUGGACAAUGGGCGCAAGCCUGAUCCAGCAAUGCCGCGUGUGUGAAGAAGGCC
RNAcentral lists this ribosomal RNA (391 nucleotides) under uncultured bacterium. Its description in RNAcentral is "bacterial SSU rRNA". It matches the Rfam family "Bacterial small subunit ribosomal RNA", at positions 29 to 416 of the family's 1533-position model. The record is from RNAcentral.